UUUUAGCCCUGAUUGUAGUGGAAAUCCUUUUAUGAAUUGCCACGGUUUAAACCCGUGGCAAUUCAUAAAAGAUUGAAACGGAAAGCAGGAAAAUGG
RNAcentral lists this small RNA (96 nucleotides) under Flavobacterium dankookense. RNAcentral's name for it is "Flavobacterium sp. ARSA-19 Flavo-1 RNA". It matches the Rfam family "Flavo-1 RNA". The record is from Rfam by way of RNAcentral. Lineage: Bacteria; Pseudomonadati; Bacteroidota; Flavobacteriia; Flavobacteriales; Flavobacteriaceae.